GAUGAACGCUGGCGGCGUGCCUAAUACAUGCAAGUCGAGCGAACAGACGAGGAGCUUGCUCCUCUGACGUUAGUGGCGGACGGGUGAGUAACACGUGGAUAACCUACCUAUAAGACUGGGAUAACUUCGGGAAACCGGAGCUAAUACCGGAUAACAUGUUGAACCGCAUGGUUCAACAGUGAAAGACGGUCUUGCUGUCACUUAUAGAUGGAUCCGCGCCGCAUUAGCUAGUUGGUAAGGUAACGGCUUACCAAGGCAACGAUGCGUAGCCGACCUGAGAGGGUGAUCGGCCACACUGGAACUGAGACACGGUCCAGACUCCUACGGGAGGCAGCAGUAGGGAAUCUUCCGCAAUGGGCGAAAGCCUGACGGAGCAACGCCGCGUGAGUGAAGAAGGUCUUCGGAUCGUAAAACUCUGUUAUUAGGGAAGAACGAAUGUGUAAGUAACUAUGCACGUCUUGACGGUACCUAAUCAGAAAGCCACGGCUAACUACGUG
RNAcentral lists this ribosomal RNA (497 nucleotides) under uncultured bacterium. RNAcentral describes it as "partial 16S ribosomal RNA". It matches the Rfam family "Bacterial small subunit ribosomal RNA", at positions 28 to 507 of the family's 1533-position model. The record is from RNAcentral.